CAAUAGCGUAUAUUAAAGUUGUUGCAGUUAAAAAGCUCGUAGUUGGAUUUCUGGUUGAAGCGACCGGUCGGGCGUUGAUUCGUCUGCACUGGAGUCGGUUUUGGCCAUCCUCUAGGAAAGUGCGUCUGGUAUUAAGUUAUCGGGCGUAUGAUCCUGGUCUUUUACUGUGAAAAAAUUAGAGUGUUUAAAGCAGGCCUUCGCCUUGAAUACAUUAGCAUGGAAUAAUAAGAUAGGACUUUGGUCUAUUUUGUUGGUUUGCAGACCGAAGUAAUGAUUAAUAGGGAUAGUUGGGGGUAUUUAUAUUCCGAUGUCAGAGGUAAAAUUCUUAGAUUUUCGGAAGAUAAACUUAUGCGAAAGCAUUUACCAAGGAUGUUUUCAUUAA
Molecule: ribosomal RNA, 382 nt
Filed under: uncultured eukaryote
Lineage: Eukaryota
Description: partial 18S ribosomal RNA
Rfam family: Eukaryotic small subunit ribosomal RNA
Source: RNAcentral